Grammomys surdaster is the source of this 3734-nucleotide RNA transcript. It is a transcript of the gene named formin like 1, with no coding region annotated. The transcript is spliced from 27 exons. Lineage: Eukaryota; Metazoa; Chordata; Mammalia; Rodentia; Muridae. The record is from RefSeq and is a predicted model, not a curated record.
UGGGUGGGGACCACCAUGGGCAACGCGGCUGGCAGCGCCGAGCAGCCCGCGGGCCCUACCGCGUCGCCCCCGAAACAGCCAGCCGUCCCCAAGCAACCGAUGCCAGCUGCGGGGGAGCUGGAGGAGAGGUUCACGCGGGUCUUGAACUGUAUGAACUUGCCGCCAGACAAGGUCCAGCUGCUGAGCCAGUAUGACAAUGAGAAGAAAUGGGAGCUCAUCUGUGACCAGGAGCGGUUUCAAGUCAAGAAUCCCCCUGCAGCCUACAUCCAGAAGCUGAAGAGCUACCUGGAUACCGGUGGGGUCAGCCGAAAGGUAGCAUCUGAUUGGAUGUCCAACCUGGGGUUUAAGAGGCGAGUUCAGGAGUCUACACAGGUGCUUCGGGAGCUGGAGACUUCCCUGAGGACAAACCACAUUGGGUGGGUGCAGGAAUUCCUCAAUGAAGAGAACCGGGGCCUGGAUGUCCUGCUUGAGUACCUGGCCUUUGCCCAGUGCUCUGUUGCGUAUGACAUGGAAAGCACAGAAAAUGUGGCCUCUGGUGCAGAGAAGAGCAAGCCCCUGGACCAGUCUGUGGAAGACCUCAGCAAGCCUCCACCUUCAUCUGUGCCCAAGAGUCGCCUGACCAUCAAGUGCCCCCCUUCUCCCCGGCUGACCCCUGCCCACAGCAGGAAGACGUUGAGGAAUUCCCGAAUCGUCAGCCAGAAGGACGAUGUCCAUGUAUGCAUCAUGUGUCUGAGAGCCAUCAUGAACUACCAGUCCGGCUUCAGCCUUGUUAUGAACCACCCAGCCUGUGUCAAUGAGAUCGCUCUAAGCCUUAACAACAAGAACCCCAGAACCAAGGCUCUGGUCCUGGAGCUGCUGGCGGCUGUGUGCCUCGUGCGGGGUGGGCACGACAUCAUUCUUGCGGCCUUUGACAACUUCAAGGAGGUGUGCGGGGAGCAGCACCGAUUUGAAAAGCUAAUGGAGUAUUUCCGGAAUGAAGACAGCAACAUUGACUUCAUGGUGGCUUGCAUGCAGUUCAUCAACAUUGUGGUACACUCUGUGGAGAACAUGAACUUUCGUGUCUUCUUGCAAUAUGAGUUCACUCACCUGGGUCUGGACCUGUACUUGGAGAGGCUCCGGCUCACCGAGAGUGACAAGCUGCAGGUGCAGAUCCAGGCAUACCUGGACAACGUUUUUGAUGUGGGAACACUGUUGGAGGAGACAGAGACAAAGAAUGCAGUGCUGGAGCACAUGGAGGAGCUGCAGGAGCAGGUGGCAACGCUGACAGAGCGGCUUCGGGACACAGAGAACGACUCCAUGGCCAAGAUCGCUGAACUGGAGAAGCAGCUAAGCCAGGCUCGCAAGGAAUUGGAGACCCUGAGGGAGCGCUUCAGCGAGUCGACCCCCAUGGGCACUUCCAGAAGAAUCCCUGAACCUGAGAAAGUGCCUGCCCCUACUGUGGUGCGACCCUCAGCUCUAGAACUGAAGGUGGAGGAGCUUGAGGAAAAGGGGUUAAUCCGUAUCCUGCGGGGGCCGGGGGAUGUCGUCUCCAUCGAGAUCCUCCCAGGAGCUGCGGCGACACCAAGCGGUGACGACGCAUCAGCUCCGAGAGUGUCUACUGAUUCCGCUAACACAGCCGAGUCAGUUCCCGAAGCAGCAUCAGCACCGCCUCCGCCACCUCCACCACCACCUCCACUACCUAACCUCCAGUCCCAGCAGGAAGCCCUUCCCUCUGCACCCCCGCUGGCCCCGCCCCUCCCAGGCUGCGCAGAGCCACCACCUGCACCGCCGUUGCCUGGAGACCUGCCUCCCCCACCUCCACCACCCCCACUUGGUACUGACGGACCAGUGCCACCGCCACCCCCACCACCUCCGGGAGGGCUCCCUGAUAUCCUCGGAGGACAAGGCCCAGAUAUAGGUCCAGGGGUGAAAGCCAAAAAACCCAUCCAGACCAAAUUCCGGAUGCCAUUGCUUAACUGGGUGGCGCUGAAACCCAACCAGAUCACAGGCACUGUCUUCACCGAGCUCAAUGAUGAAAAGGUGUUGCAGGAGCUAGACAUGACUGACUUUGAGGAGCAGUUUAAGACCAAAUCCCAAGGCCCCAGCCUGGAUAUCAGCGCUCUGAAGGGGAAGGCGGCCCACAAAGCCCCCACUAAGGCAACACUCAUUGAAGCCAACCGGGCCAAGAAUUUGGCCAUUACCCUGCGCAAAGGCAACCUAGGAGCUGACAGAAUCUGCCAGGCCAUUGAGACGUAUGACCUACAGACUCUCAGCCUGGAUUUCUUGGAGCUGUUGACCCGCUUCCUGCCCACAGACUACGAGCGUAGCCUCAUAGCCCGAUUCGAGAAGGAACAGCGGCCGAUGGAAGAGCUGUCAGAGGAGGACCGCUUCAUGCUCCGCUUCAGCCGCAUCCAGAGACUUCCAGAGCGCAUGAACACACUCACCUUCCUGGGCAACUUUCCAGACACGGCCCAGCUGCUCAUGCCGCAACUGAACGCCAUCAUUGCAGCCUCCAUGUCUGUCAGGUCCUCUGACAAGCUUCGUCAGAUCCUAGAGAUUGUCCUGGCUUUUGGCAACUACAUGAACAGUAGCAAACGUGGGGCAGCCUAUGGUUUCCGUCUUCAGAGUCUGGAUGCGUUGUUGGAGAUGAAGUCGACUGACCGGAAGCAGACAUUGUUGCACUACUUGGUGAAGGUCAUUGCUGAGAAGUACCCACAGCUCACGGGCUUUCACAGUGACCUCCACUUCUUGGACAAGGCAGGCUCAGUGUCCCUGGACAGUGUCCUGGGAGACGUGCGGUCCUUGCAGCGAGGUCUGGAGUUGACACAGAGAGAGUUUGUGCGGCAAGAUGACUGCCUGGUGCUCAAGGAGUUCCUGAAAGUCAACUCUCCCACCAUGGACAAGCUGCUGGCAGACAGCAAGACGGCUCAGGAGGCCUACGAGUCUGUGGUGGAGUACUUUGGAGAAAAUCCCAAGACCACAUCUCCCUCCAUGUUUUUUUCCCUCUUCAGUCGCUUCACCAAAGCCUACAAGAAAGCAGAACAGGAGGUAGAACAGUGGAAGAAGGAAGCAGCGGCUGAUACCUCAGGCAGGGAAGAGCCUCCAGCACCCAAGUCUCCACCCAAGGCCAGGCGACAACAGAUGGACCUCAUCUCUGAGCUAAAACGGAAGCAGCAGAAAGAGCCCCUCAUCUAUGAGAGUGACCGAGACGGGGCCAUUGAAGACAUCAUCACAGGUGAGAGCUUAGUCAGGUCACUGUCCUGUGUCUGUUUCUAGUCUCUACUAUGUCCUUCUCUUCCUGCAUUUCUCCCCACUCUGAGGGGUCUGCUGCCUCCUCCCACCUUCAGUCUCAUUGUGAAGCCCUGGCUUGCCUGGAACUUGCUGUGUAGACCAGGCUGGUCUCAAACUCACAGAGAUUUUCUUGCCUCUGCCCCUGCAGUGCUGGGAUUAAAGGCAUGGGCCACCAUGCCUGUUCUGCAUAACUCUUGCUACCUUUUCUGUUUUUUUUUCUUUUUUCUCUCUCUCUGCCUCCUAUCCCCAAAACCUCAGUCCUCAAGACAGUGCCCUUCACUGCCCGCACCGGCAAGCGGACAUCCCGGCUCCUCUGUGAGGCCAGCCUGGGAGAGGAGAUGACCCUCUAGCUCCCAGAUCUUCGGAACCAGCCGUACAUCCGUGCAGACACAGGACGCCGAAGUGCUCGCCGGCGGCCCCCUGGACCCCCACUGCCGGUCACUGUUGACCUCUCGCUGUAGCCA